Molecule: ribosomal RNA, 478 nt
Filed under: uncultured bacterium
Lineage: Bacteria
Description: partial 16S ribosomal RNA
Rfam family: Bacterial small subunit ribosomal RNA
Source: RNAcentral
GACGAACGCUGGCGGCGUGCUUAACACAUGCAAGUCGAACGGUAAGGCCCUUCGGGGUACACGAGUGGCGAACGGGUGAGUAACACGUGGGUGAUCUGCCCUGCACUUCGGGAUAAGCCUGGGAAACCGGGUCUAAUACCGGAUAGGACUCCGGACUGCAUGGUCUGGGGUGGAAAGCUUUUGCGGUGUGGGAUGGGCCCGCGGCCUAUCAGGUUGUUGGUGGGGUGAUGGCCUACCAAGGCGACGACGGGUAGCCGGCCUGAGAGGGUGACCGGCCACACUGGGACUGAGAUACGGCCCAGACUCCUACGGGAGGCAGCAGUGGGGAAUAUUGCACAAUGGGCGCAAGCCUGAUGCAGCGACGCCGCGUGAGGGAUGACGGCCUUCGGGUUGUAAACCUCUUUCAGCAUCGACGAAGCGAAAGUGACGGUAGGUGCAGAAGAAGGACCGGCCAACUACGUGCCAGCCGCCGCAGUAA